UAGCAUAUCAAUAAGCGGAGGAAAAGAAACCAACAGGGAUUGCCCUAGUAACGGCGAGUGAAGCGGCAACAGCUCAAAUUUGAAAUCUGGCUCUUUUAGAGUCCGAGUUGUAAUUUGCAGAGGGCGCUUUGGCUUUGGCAGCGGUCCAAGUUCCUUGGAACAGGACGUCACAGAGGGUGAGAAUCCCGUACGUGGUCGCUAGCUAUUGCCGUGUAAAGCCCCUUCGACGAGUCGAGUUGUUUGGGAAUGCAGCUCUAAAUGGGAGGUAAAUUUCUUCUAAAGCUAAAUAUUGGCCAGAGACCGAUAGCGCACAAGUAGAGUGAUCGAAAGAUGAAAAGCACUUUGGAAAGAGAGUCAAACAGCACGUGAAAUUGUUGAAAGGGAAGCGCUUGCAGCCAGACUUGCUUGCAGUUGCUCAUCCGGGCUUUUGCCCGGUGCACUCUUCUGCAGGCAGGCCAGCAUCAGUUUGGGCGGUGGGAUAAAGGUCUCUGACACGUUCCUUCCUUCGGGUUGGCCAUAUAGGGGAGACGUCAUACCACCAGCCUGGACUGAGGUCCGCGCAUCUGCUAGGAUGCUGGCGUAAUGGCUGUAAGCGGCCCGUCUUGAAACACGGACCAAGGAGUCUAACAUCUAUGCGAGUGUUUGGGUGUCAAGCCCGAGCGCGUAAUGAAAGUGAACGGAGGUGGGAACCCGCAAGGGUGCACCAUCGACCGAUCCUGAAGUUUACGGAAGGAUUUGAGUAAGAGCAUGGCUGUUGGGACCCGAAAGAUGGUGAACUAUGCUUGAAUAGGGUGAAGCCAGAGGAAACUCUGGUGGAGGCUCGCAGCGGUUCUGACGUGCAAAUCGAUCGUCAAAUUUGGGCAUAGGGGCGAAAGACCUAAUCGAACUAUCUAGUAGCUGGUUCCUGCGA
This 910-nucleotide ribosomal RNA is filed under the name Curvularia oryzae-sativae. RNAcentral describes it as "LSU rRNA". It matches the Rfam family "Eukaryotic large subunit ribosomal RNA", at positions 36 to 963 of the family's 3401-position model. Lineage: Eukaryota; Fungi; Ascomycota; Dothideomycetes; Pleosporales; Pleosporaceae. The record is from RNAcentral.